Onthophagus taurus is the source of this 443-nucleotide long non-coding RNA. RefSeq lists it as uncharacterized. The record is from RefSeq and is a predicted model, not a curated record. Lineage: Eukaryota; Metazoa; Arthropoda; Insecta; Coleoptera; Scarabaeidae.
UAAAUAUGUCAAGUUUGAAAUGUUUUUGUGAUGGGUUGUGCAAGUUCUAAUCAAAGGGAAGUUGUUUUUAUUGUGAUCGUAUGGAUAUUCUUAUUUCUGGAUACGGCGAUGUAUUUAUUUUUUUUCACUCUACUGGAAAGAUCGACGUGCAUUCACAAAGGGGUGGUGUAUAAAAAUUUUAGCGGACUUCAAGCUCGUGCAGGUGAUUUUUAUAAUGAUGCGUGUACAGGAAAUUUUUUGCAAAAACUUCAAAAGACAUUUUAUAUAAAAUAAAUGUUUAAAAUAAAAAAAAAUUUUCAGGUGUAGAUUACUUCGAACACUAUAUAAAUACUUGAAAACUUUGAAAUUGGACAAGAAUACUGUUUUAUGUCUUAAAUGUUAUCGUCUAAGGUAAUUAGAAGGGAUCUGUACAUAUAAAUACAUCGUAUUAUAAUCUAAUUUAA